UACGGAGGGGGCCAGCGUUGUUCGGAAUCAUUGGGCGUAAAGGGCGCCUAGGUGGCCAAGCAAGUCGGAUGUGAAAGCCCUCGGCUCAACCGGGGAAUUGCACCCGAUACUGCCUGGCUCGAGUCCUGGAGAGGGUAGCGGAAUUCCCAGUGUAGCGGUGAAAUGCGUAGAUACUGGGAGGAACACCGGUGGCGAAGGCGGCUACCUGGACAGGUACUGACACUGACGCGCGAAAGCGUGGGGAGCAAAC
RNAcentral lists this ribosomal RNA (250 nucleotides) under uncultured bacterium. RNAcentral's name for it is "partial 16S ribosomal RNA". It matches the Rfam family "Bacterial small subunit ribosomal RNA", at positions 524 to 773 of the family's 1533-position model. The record is from RNAcentral.